AUCCUCAUAGUGAUCAAUCAAUAUUAGUAACCUUAGUAGUGGACGCACAAGACAAACAUUUCCGUACUAGUCUGAAAACAAACGUCCUACACGACCAUGUUUUGUUAUUCCGCAUAGCGUUCUUGGCCGCCUUCUUUCUCCCUCCUCCUCCUCGAAAACAACUCUGAUUGUGUCUCCGGGUAACUGCUUCGCCAUCACCUCCAUCACCGUCUUCUUCGUUCUCUUCUGUUGAAAAUGUGUAGCUUCUAAGGUACAUCUGCCUACAAGAUAUGCUGUCAACCACCGUGGUGCGAUGCUGGCUUCCGUCGUGGUUGAUUGACCGUACGAACUCGGCCUCCGCCAUCGGCCACUUGUAAAGAUUGGCGUAAGUCAUAACCGGCCGGACGCAAAUGGAGUCUCUUUUGAUGUUUACACAAUCAUCUAUGCACUUUGAGGCCAUGGUCGCUUUUUUGGAGGGGCAAGUACAAGACAAACAUUUCCAUGUGAAUCGGACCACAAAUCCCUUAAGUGACGCCCUUUUACUCGUCCUCAUAUCUUUCUUCGCCAACUUCUUCCUCCCUGCUCCUCCGCCACCGUCUUCGUUCUCCUCUUUUCUUGAGAACGUAUAG
This is a long non-coding RNA of Arabidopsis thaliana (thale cress), 608 nucleotides long. RefSeq annotates it as other RNA. The record is from RefSeq. The transcript has 2 exons. NCBI's taxonomy places the organism in Eukaryota, Viridiplantae, Streptophyta, Magnoliopsida, Brassicales, Brassicaceae.